AUUGAACGCUGGCGGCAGGCCUAACACAUGCAAGUCGAACGAGUGGCGGACGGGUGAUUAAUGUCUGGGAAACUGCCUGAUGGAGGGGGAUAACUACUGGAAACGGAAGCUAAUACCGCAUAUCAUCGGAUGUGCCCAGCUGGGAUUAGCUGGUAGGUGGGGUAAUGGCUCACCAAGGAGACGAUCCCUAGCUGGUCUGAGAGGAUGACCGGCCACACUGGAACUGAGACACGGCCCAGACUCCUACGGGAGGCAGCAGUGGGGAAUAUUGGGCAAUGGGCGCAAGCCUGAUGCAGCCAUGCCGCGUGUAUGAAGAAGGCCUUCGGGUUGUAAAGUACUUUCAGCAGGGAGGCGGUACCUGAAGAAGAAGCACCGGCUAACUACGUGCCAGCAGCCGCGGUAAUAC
RNAcentral lists this ribosomal RNA (406 nucleotides) under uncultured bacterium. RNAcentral's name for it is "partial 16S ribosomal RNA". It matches the Rfam family "Bacterial small subunit ribosomal RNA", at positions 30 to 526 of the family's 1533-position model. The record is from RNAcentral.